Molecule: long non-coding RNA, 4136 nt
Filed under: Equus caballus (horse)
Lineage: Eukaryota; Metazoa; Chordata; Mammalia; Perissodactyla; Equidae
Description: lncRNA (ENSECAG00000041086.2)
Source: RNAcentral
UCUUUAUGGCCAACAGGACUGGCUUUCCAAUUAGGGUAGCAAUGUGCAAUUUCAUUUUACAAUAAACGCAUUUGAGCCUUUUAAGAGCAUGUAGAUAUAAAAGAUACUUAAGUCGAUAAUAGAGGUGGUGGCAGAUGUAAUGAUAACAAUAAUUGCAGAGGUUUAUUGAGUGCUUCCUAGGGGCCAGGCGUGAUUCCAAGUGCUUCCUAUUUAUUAACUCAUUUCAUCCUCAUCACCACUGGGUUGCUUCUAUUUUUAGCCCCACUUCACAGUAACUUAAGUACCUUGCCAGGGCCACAUGACCAGGAAAUGGAAGAGCUGAGAUUUGAACCCAGACCCCCCAACUCCAGAGUCCCUGGUCUUAAGCGGUUACGCACAUGUGGCGCGAAUGAGUGGCAUCUGGAGAACGCUGGCCCGGGUUGUGUCUGGGGUGACCAACUUGCCCUAGUUUGCCUGGAACUUUGUUGGUUUUAAACCUGGAAGUCCUGUGUCCAGGGACACUGCUAGCCAUGCAGUUAUGUCUCAGUCUUUCCCCAUCUCUUCUGGGAUUGCAUCACCGUAUAUGGCGGCGACGUGAGCCAAGCAUAUGGAACCAACCACAAGCUGCCAGGUCUGCAUGGAUGGCGAGGAGUAAACACACACAUCUCCUAACAAAGUACAUAACACCCAAAAACCCUCGCCCGAAAAUAACACAGUAAAGUGCCUGAUGGCUGUUAUGUCACCAACAGUGACACUUGCCUGAUCGGUAGAAACAACAGAGAGAAAACAUCCCAUGUCUCUAUCUACAGCUGAGUAAAAAGUGUCAUAUCUGGAUGUACAGAAAUACUAAAUCCUGGCACACUGGCCUGUAUCGUGCAGAAUGAAGGGACCCCAUCGGCGCAUCUGAAAUAACACUGACGAUGAUGAGAAUAAUAAUAACGUAGUGAGGAUGGUAGCUGCUCUGGAUGGAGCAUCCACUCUGUUCCAACAUAGUGCUAAGCCCUUGAUGUGCAUUAUGGGAAUUAAUCCACACAGCCCCUGUGGUGUCCUACUGUUGUCAUCACCUCCAUUCUACAGAUGAGGAAACCAGCACAGAGAGGUUUUAAAAGUUGCCCAGCUCACACAGCUAGGAAGUGAUGAAGUGGAGACUCACCCAGGCGGCCUUUCUCCAGGGCUGUGCUCUUGACCCCAGGAGAAGAUACAGCCCACUGUGUAGAUUCUGUGGGUGAAAAUGCACCCUGGGACUCUGCCUCAUUCUUUUUCAUGACUGUAGAGUAUUCCAUAGCAUGGCUGUACUGUGGCUCAUUCAACUGGUUUCCUCUUGACGGACGUGGAGGUCGUUCCCAGGUUCUUCUGUUAUAAACAGUUCUGCAACGUACACGCACAUCUCUGUCUUCCAGGGCACAGUGCUGACUGUUUCUCUAGGAUGGUGUGGUAGGCAGAACCCUAAAGAUGCCCCCAGGAUUCUCAGCCCCAGGUCCUCCAGACACUGACCUAGGUAUUGCUGGGAAGCGAUGUUGCAGAUUUAAUUAAGGUCCCAAGUCAGUUAACUGCAAAUGUGCAGAUUAUCCAGCUGGGCUCAAUCUGAUUGCAGGAGCCCUCUGAAAGCAGAGAGUUUCUCUGGCUGGGAGCAGGAGAGGAAGCCAGCAAGAUGUGAAGCAUGGGAACACCCUGCCGCUGGCCGGAAGGUGUGGAGUCUCUGUGAAGAGGCAGGCAGGUGGCCUCUAGAAGUCGAGUUGCCUCUCAAUUGACAACCAGCAAGUAAUUGGGGACUUUAGUCCUACAACCGCAAGGAACUCACUUCUGCCCGUAGCAGGAAUAAGCGUGGAAGAGGAUCCUGGGCUCCAGAUAAGCACCUGGAGGCUGACACCCUGCCUUCAGCCUGAGCAGGAACUCAGCUGCUCCGGGCUGACCGUGUGACCUGUGGAACUGGGAGCCCAUGGUGGGAGCUGUUACAGGACUGCCCACGGCGUUAAAAAACCAGAACCCAAAGGCACAUGGAUUGACAAUACUGCCUUCUCUGCCCGAUGACUCACCCCAUGUCCGGCAAAGUCAUUCCUCGUUCUCUCUUUAAGGAGUCCUUGGAACCGCAGUCAAAAAUUAGGGUCAUCUGUCUGGGAAGUAUCAAUGUCACUUUGACAUUAUUGAAUGGUUUCGAAUGGCACAAAAGUUUUUGAAGGGGCCCGGUACAGAAGCUGGAACCCAGGGGGAUCUAUGAUGUCACACUUCUCAUGGCCAGAUCGGGCCUCCGGGUUCUAGGUUCCAAGAAGAUGCCCGACUUCCUGGGAACUGUCCGUCCCUCCUCCCUCCCGGGAGCCCAAAUUCCAAGAAAUGCAGCUAAAAUUGGCCCUCGAACAGCUUUUGCAUAGCACGUCGCAGCUUUUUUUGGGUCUAGAGAGUCGGCUUUCAUGAUGAAAGUGGCACAGAAGGAGAGACCCAGCUAAAAACAGCCACCGCCCAGGAGCUCCGCGGAAGUAGUUCUCCCAAGGGCCGUCUUAGCGUCUCAGAAGCAAAGCUAAGGGAUCGUCCGAGCCGCGUGGUGGCCCCGCUGCAGGCCUGUCACCCGCCCCCAGCCCACAGGACUAGGUCUCUGUUGACUAAUGCCCACCUGAUACGAAAUGACUGAAGCUUGGAAAUAAAAAUGAUUCCAGCAUUAUAAUCAGAAUUCUAAUGAGCUCCCACGGACGCGGAAUGCGAAAUGAGCUUGAGAUGGGGCCCCUCCUUUGGAUAUGACGGAACUGGUGAUUCAAGUUUUGUACGCAUUUGCUGUCGUGUGUUGUGUAUGACGCCGGCCUGGUGAGUGCUCUUUCUGUCGAGGGCCCGCCACGGGUCCUGCUGCGUCCAGGUCCCUCCUGCGUGAUGGCUGUCAUCGCCAUCUCCAUCCUCAUCAUCCUUAAGGUCGACUUGGAAGAUUUGGACUCAGUUGAGCAGAGACUAAAAACGUUAGAAGAUCAGCCAUCACCUGGCAGGUACCCGGUGAUGCCGAUGCUGCUGGCUCCUGGGUGCUACUUUGAGGAGCCAUCUUCGAAGACCGGUGGAAGUGCUUUGUACUGUUUGUACCUUUUGGAAAUGUUGUGUGAUCAUCAACAAGUCAACUCACCCGUCUUGGUCUCAGUUUCCCCAUCCGUCAAAUGGACAAGAUGUCACCAUCAUAGGAUGGGCGGAGAGGCCUAAGCAACACAAUGGAUGCAAAGUGCCUGGCCCAUCGUGUCAAGGAAUGACCUGAACAGCUGAGGAAGAUGCUCCAUGGAUGCCAACACUUGCUCGUCUCCCCUGCCUUGGACCCCAACUUUCCAAACCGCACUUCUCUUCCCUUUGCAUGUCUAGAAGAUGGCCUGGGCCAUAGUUAGGAGUUCAGCAUUGGGAGGUUAUAUUCUCUGAGCAGCAAGACCAACACCUGAGGCCCCUCUAGUCCUGAUUGUAUCCUGUGUUGUCAGGGAGAACAGUGUCUGGCGUCCUGUCGAUCUUUCUAGAAGGGAAGAGUAAAAGCAUUGAGAUGGCAAGCGUGUGGACCAGGCAGGCAGGAUGCUAGCCUCCCUCUGCGCCAGCCCGCUAGGCAGUGGCUACGUCUUCCCAGGGCUAAGGAGAUUCCCGCUUCCCAGAGUGCCACUGUGCCCUGCAGCAAGGCGAGACGGGGGGAGCUGUCCGGGGCCCGGCUUCCUCCCCCAGCACAGACGCCUCAGUGACCGCUCCGGGCUGGCCGCGAUGUGUGUACCUUUGCUGUCUGCACCCAGCCUCGGACUCGCCCCCAGGAACCCAGGCAGAGGAUAAACCUCACCCCUGCCUCUGGGAGCCCGGUCGGGGUGCAUUAGGCCAGUGCACAGAGCAGCUGGGGUGCGGAGAAAAGGAUAGUGGACUUGGAGACUGACUCCAAGUGCCUGAACACUCUCUGGCCUCAGCUUUCUCAUCCACAAAAUGGGACCAUAAACCUUGAUUCAGAGAGGCAGGGCAGUAGAGGGCAGCAGCCCAGCCUGUCUGGAUUUUGAUCUUGGCUCCCCCGCUUGUAAGCUGUGCUUUUCCCAGAAAAUUACUUUAUCUCUCUGAUCCUCAGGUUGCUUUACUGUAAAAAGGGUGGUAAUGAUGGUACCUGGACCUCAUAGAGUUAUUGUGGAGACGAAAACAAAAUAAAGUGAGUAAAGUGCUUAGCCUGUCCCGUG